ACGGAAGGCAGCAGUGGGGAAUAUUGCACAAUGGGGGAAACCCUGAUGCAGCGACGCCGUGUGAGUGAAGAAGUAUUUCGGUAUGUAAAGCUCAAUCAGCAGGGAAGAAAAUGACGGUACCUGACUAAGAAGCCCCGGCUAACUACGUGCCAGCAGCCGCGGUAAUACGUAGGGGGCAAGCGUUAUCCGGAUUUACUGGGUGUAAAGGGAGCGUAGACGGCAAGGCAAGUCUGAAGUGAAAGCCCGGGGCUUAACCGCGGGACUGCUUUGGAAACUGUCUGGCUGGAGUGCCGGAGAGGUAAGCGGAAUUCCUAGUGUAGCGGUGAAAUGCGUAGAUAUUAGGAGGAACACCAGUGGCGAAGGCGGCUUACUGGACGGUAACUGACGUUGAGGCUCGAAAGCGUGGGGAGCAAACAGGAUUAGAUACCCUGGUA
This 434-nucleotide ribosomal RNA is filed under the name uncultured bacterium. Its description in RNAcentral is "bacterial SSU rRNA". It matches the Rfam family "Bacterial small subunit ribosomal RNA", at positions 341 to 792 of the family's 1533-position model. The record is from RNAcentral.